GACGAACGCUGGCGGCGUGCUUAACACAUGCAAGUCGAACGGAAAGGCCCUGCUUGCAGGGUAUUCGAGUGGCGAACGGGUGAGUAACACGUGGGUGAUCUGCCCUGCACUUCGGGAUAAGCCUGGGAAACUGGGUCUAAUACCGGAUAGGAGCCAUUUUUAGUGUGAUGGUUGGAAAGUUUUUUCGGUGUAGGAUGAGCUCGCGGCCUAUCAGCUUGUUGGUGGGGUAAUGGCCUACCAAGGCGGCGACGGGUAGCCGGCCUGAGAGGGUGGACGGCCACAUUGGGACUGAGAUACGGCCCAGACUCCUACGGGAGGCAGCAGUGGGGAAUAUUGCACAAUGGGCGCAAGCCUGAUGCAGCGACGCCGCGUGGGGGAUGACGGCCUUCGGGUUGUAAACUCCUUUCGCUAGGGACGAAGCUUUUUGUGGCGGUACCUAGAUAAGAAGCACCGGCUAACUACGUG
This 465-nucleotide ribosomal RNA is filed under the name uncultured bacterium. RNAcentral describes it as "partial 16S ribosomal RNA". It matches the Rfam family "Bacterial small subunit ribosomal RNA", at positions 28 to 507 of the family's 1533-position model. The record is from RNAcentral.